This 254-nucleotide ribosomal RNA is filed under the name uncultured bacterium. Its description in RNAcentral is "partial 16S ribosomal RNA". It matches the Rfam family "Archaeal small subunit ribosomal RNA", at positions 474 to 727 of the family's 1478-position model. The record is from RNAcentral.
CACCAGCGCCACGAGUGGCAACCGCGUUUAUUGGGCCUAAAGCGUCCGUAGCCGGUUUAAUAAAUCUCUUGUGAAAUCGUCAGGCUUAACCUGACGGCGUGCUUGAGACACUGUUAAACUCGAGACCGGGAGGAGUCAAAGGUAUUCCAGGGGGAGCGGUAAAAUGUGAUAAUCCCUGGAGGAUCACCUAUGGCGAAGGCAUUUGACCAGAACGGAUCUGACGGUGAGGGACGAAGGCCAGGGGAGCGAUCCGG